Microcebus murinus (gray mouse lemur) is the source of this 5545-nucleotide non-coding RNA. NCBI's taxonomy places the organism in Eukaryota, Metazoa, Chordata, Mammalia, Primates, Cheirogaleidae. The record is from RefSeq and is a predicted model, not a curated record.
CCCACGCAGGGCCCCGUCGCGACCCGGGCCUCACCGCGCCGGCGGGCGACCCCCGGCCAGCCUCAGUGCCCGGGAGCCCCCGGCCUCCGGAGCCUGGGGCAUCGACUAUCCCCGCCCCCACGCUGGCCUUUCCCUGGGACCCUCGGCCGGCUGAGCUCUCCUAGGCCUCACUGCAUCCUACACCAGUCCUCAGCUCAGCCGCAGAUCCCUGGAAGCCCCCGGCCGGGCCGCGGGCUGAAAGUUGGCCUCUUCUGGGGACACCCCGCCCACCCGGUCUUUCUAGGCUUUACUGAACCGCAGAAUCCCUCAGCUCUUCUCAUCGCCCAAGCUGACCUAAGGUGAGCUCAGCUAGCGUCUCAGACUAACCCCAAUCUCCUAGUAAUUCUCGGUCUCCCCUUAUGCUGGGCAGGUGAUUUACCCACAGAAGCCUAGAGCCAGGUUUAUGGGGCUGGCCUUAGGCAAAUAUCUAGAAGGAGAGUUUUAAGCAGGAAUCCUACCCUACAGUACUUGGGGAAAGUACAAGCCGAGGUUAAAGUGGAGCUGGAUGAGCAGAGGGUCCAGACCAGGUACCCCAGGCAGAGGCGAGUGUGCUAUUUGAAAGGAUUCUUGCCAAGAGACUGGAGCAUUUAGGAGCUGAGGACCAUAUACAAAGGUGAUCAGCAUCAAUUUGCUGAUACAUGGAGUCUUGUUUUCACACAUCCUAGGCUUUUCCAAAAUAACUGUUUGAUCCUAAAGAAAAAGGUGCCAAGCAGAAUUGCCUGUGGCGGAAAACACGCUGUGGGGAAGCCAUGCAGGUAUGUGCGGUCCAAACAUCUUUAUCACUCAGAAAUGCCACUGGUUCAGAUGGUUUUACAGCAAGUUCUGUCAUACCAUCAGGGGACAACUGUUACACUGCCAAAAAAAAAAAAAAAAGAGAGAGAGAGAGAAACAAAAAAUUUCCAUUUCCGUUUCCCAUGUUUGGUGUAACCCUGAUACCAAAAUCCAACAGAGAUAACACCAAAAAGGAGAACUGCAGAAAACUAGAAUAGAAUACUGUUCUCCAGAGAAUUUAAUAUGUGUUUUUUGAAAAAGGGGUUCUGCAGUCAAAUAACUUGAGUAAGUGCUGCAGUCACCUUUUGGAGGGUCACAGUAAGUCAGCAUAUUAAGGUCUCUGUGAAGUCCAGGAGUAAAGAAACCUGUUCAUUUAUUUAACCUGGCAUUUCCCAAAUUCAUCUGAGCCAGGACUACCUUUUCAAAACUCAAUGAUUAAGCUCCAACAUGUGACUCACUGCUAUAGACCAACUCACUUAAUUAAUAGUAGUUGUGAAACUAGUAAAUAAAGUUUUAGCAAUUUGAAUCCAGCUUGGUAUAAAGUAAGUAAAAACCCACCAUGAUCAAGCAAGAUUUAUUUUAGAAAUGCAAAGAAAAUUCUGUUAGGGAAUCCAUAAAUUCAUUGCAUUGUUAAAGGAAGAUAAAUCAGAGGACAUUAUCGAUAGAAUAGAUGCUUUAAAAACAUUCAAUAAACUUCAAAAACCAUUGACUUAUAAAUUUCUAAAAACUCUUAAUAAACUAGGAAGAAAAUUUAAACUUCUUAACAAGACAAAGUUUAUCAGAAUCCAUCAACAACAUAUUUAAUGGUGAAACACUGAAAGUAUUCAUUUAAGAAACAAAAGGAUACCUGCUAUCAUUGUUAUAGCUAAAGCCAAUGCAAUAAGGUAAGAAAAAUAAAUGAGAAAUGUGAAUAUUGGAAAGGAAGAGAUAAAAUUGUCAUUUGCUCAUGAUGUCAGUGUUUCCCAAAAAAUCAAAAUCAAAAAGAAUCAACUAAAAAUCUUAGAGGCUUUGGUAAGGUGGUCAAUUAUAAGGUUAGCACUAAAGUCAAAGUCUUCCUUAAAUGUUAAGAGAGAAUCCUUCUUUUCCACAUAGAGGGACUCCCAUUGGAAUAAGACUGCUGGCCCCUCUCCACCCUGAGGAUGAGUGAUUUAGAGGAAGUGAUUAGUGAGUUUGGGAGAAGUAUUAAUAAUUGAACAAGAAUAGAUGCUUCUGAGUUCUGUUUUUGGAUUUGGCUGGUUGCAGAGAGCAAAUAUUUUAAUAUGCUGUCACUAUGUGCUAAGUGAACCUUUUCAUGAGCAGAGAGAUACUAUUGCCCUGCAUUGCCUUCAACUAUAGAAAUAAACCAAUUCAGGGAAAAAUAUAGCAAACUCACUUAGCUACACAUCAAAAGCUAUACUUUCCAAUCAAUUAUGUCUCUUUCCUGUAUCUAUGAUUCAGUUUGCUCCAAACUCACAAGAGGGAGGCAGGUAUUAUAAUACUUAUAGAAUCCCCCAAAUACAACACUAAAUACCAGUGAUUUCCAUUUAGAAAGAUGAUAGAAACAGAUUAUAUUCACAUUAGCAAUGAAUAUUUUAAGGCAUAUACUAGGCAUAAGCUUAACAAGAAAUGGCAAAGUCCAUAGAAAGAAAACUAUAAAACCUUAUUGAAGGACAUUAAAGAAGACCUUAAUAAGUUGAAAAAUAUAAAAAAAUCCCUGGGCAGGAAGUAGCAAUAUGGCAAAGACUUCAUAUCUUCCCAACUUAAUUUAUAAAUUUAAUGGAAUCCAGAUCAAAGAACCAAGAUGAUUUGGGGGUGAGGUGGGGUGGAACAUGACAAUUAUUUUGAAACUUAUCUUGAUACUUAUCUUACUUGAUAAGUAAAUAUGGGUGAAUACCCAGGAAAUUUUUUGAAAUGGAAAAAUGAUGCGGUAAUAUUGGUCUAACAGAUAAUAAAAUAGAAUGUGAAAACUUCAGGAAAUACAACUGUGGGCCACUAGUGUAGGAAUAAACACUUUUAUCAUAUAUUAAGUUCCAUUCAUAAGUGCUUUGUUUUUAUCUAUUGUAAUAUUUGUAUACAAAUAUUUUAUACAAAUAUUGCUAUUAAUAUAAAAAUAGGUAUAUCCAUUGUAUAUCAUAUAUUUUUAUAUAACAGGAAUAUUCAUUUUAUCCAUCGAUCUAUUUAUAUAUUCCUAUAAAAAUAGGAUAUACAAAUUUGUAUAUUCCCAUACACCUUACUCCAAACCAUAUUAUCUGGCCUAGACCACUCUGAUAACUUUCUUACUGGUCUCUUGGCUUUGCUCCCCCUCAAACAAUAGAAAAUAGCAACCAGAGUGAUCAAAAACUAAUAAUGAUAAAAUGCAGCAGGCACUCCCUUGCUUAGAGUCCUUCAAUGAAUUUCCAUACAAUAAAAUAAAAUUCAAAUGCUCCAACAUGACCUGCAAGGUCCCAUGCUGUCUGGACCUAGCCUGCCCCUCCAUCCUCCUUUCAGCUGCUCUAACCACACCAGCUUCCUUUUAGAUCCUUGAAUAUCAAAACUCUUUCCACCCUGGGUGAAUGCCUAGAGCACUCCUUUUAGUCUUUACCGGGCCUGGACUCUUCUCAUACCUAAACUUUCAGCGUACAUAUCACCUCCUAGGUCCCUGUUGUUUCCAUCCAUACCGCAUUAGUUCAUUUCCUGCUUAUCACUUAUCACAAUUUGUAACUAUCCGCUAUUUGUUUACCUCUUCAGCUGUCACCUUCCCACUCCACCAAAAACUCCAUAUCUGUUUUGUUCAUCAAGCAUAAAUGUGUCACACAUACUAGCCCCUCAGUAAACAUUUUAUAGAUUGGUAUGUCAAUGUUUAAUAUGCGCAUACCCUUUGUCCCAUGUCUAAUAAUUUAUCCAGAGUAAACAAUCAGACAAGUGCACACAGAUGUAAGUUCAAGGAUAAUUAUUUCAGCAUUGCUUGUAAUGAGAAAAUAUUGGACAUAGCCUAAAUGUCCAGCAAUAGAUUGAGUCAUUAAAAAAAAACUGUACUGACAUAGAAAUAUAUCAUGGUAUUUUGUUAAGUUAAAAAAAAAGCAGGUUAUGGAACAGAAUGCAUUUAUUAUAUGAGCCCAUCAAUUUUGUAUGUGUUUGUGAUUAUUUAUAUGUACAGGCAGGCAGUCCCUGGGUUACAGAUGACCCAACUUAUGGCCUUCCAUACUUAUGAACGGGCUCCCAAGGUUCCCCAUAAAGAUAAUUUAUAAUUAAAUAAUUAAAGUAAUAAUUCGAGAACUAGUUUCUUUCUAAUGUGACCAAACCCACAUGGUAUAAAUGGUAUGUUUGCAUAGCAUCUUUACGUUAGCGGCUAGUCUCACAGAUAGAUCGAGAAGCACCUGCUAGAAACACAAAAACAUGAAGAACCAGAAGAUCCAGAGCCAAGGAAGUUUCUGACAGAAGAGUUAGCUGAAGGCUUUCGUCUUAUUGAAGCAGGAUUUGCUAAGCUUGAGGAGCAUGAUCCUAACAUUGAGCAGUUUACACAGCUUUACUGUGCAGUUAGUGAGAACAUCGGCUGCUACAAGUCCAUUUAUGAUGAAAAAAAGGAAAAGGUUGUGCAAACAACCCUAGAUACCUUUUUCAAGAAACCAUCUUCAGUGGUCAGCUCCCCUCCUCCAGCCACAGAAUCAAAUCCUGAUUUUCCAGCACCCACUCCAUCCCCUCCAGCGCUGCCUUCAUCAUCGUCCAUUUUCCAAUGAAGGUCAGCUAUCUUCUCGCCUCAAAAAAGCCCUUUCCAGUAAGCAAGACAUUGAUGCAAGAUUAGGAAGAGGAUCUGAGGACCCAGACACACGUGGGGGUGACCAUGUGAAGACCUGGGGAGAGGACAGCCACCUGCCAGCCAAGGAGAAAGGCCUCAGCAGAGACCAACCCCGCUGACACCCUGAUCUGGAACUUCUAGCCUCCAGGACUGUGAGAAAACAGAUUUCUGUUGUUUGAGCCACCUAGUCUGUGGUCCUGUGCCAUGGUAGCCCUUUGUUAAUACAGACAUGGAGACCAAGAGACUCCCAACGUCCCCCCAACACAGCCCCAGACCCACAGCUGCCUUCACAGCCCCACCCAGAUCCCUGGAGACGGCACGUUCCCCACCCCCAGCCCCGAAGCGCAGGGCUCACUGGAGAGCCCCGUUCCCCGAGGCCCCUUCCUUGGCAUGAGGACUGAGUUUGGCCCAGUCUUCUAGCAUCACCAACAUGCAAGAGGAGAGGGCACCUGGGAGCCUCCUCCACUGCUGUGACAAUAUCAGCUUGCACGUGGAGUCGCAAUUAUAGGUCCCCAGGGCCGUUCCAAACACUCUGCAGGUAUUAACUCAUCUAACCAUCUCAACCAGCCUUUCAGGUAGGUACUGUUACCAAAAUCCCCAUUCAAGAGAUGGCAAAAUGGACACACAGAGAGGUCAAGUAACUUGCCUGAAAUCACACAGCCAGCAAAACCAGAGCUGGGACUUGAAUUGAGGCAGUCUGACUCAAGCCUAGCUCUGAACCAUGGGAAAUCUGCCACCAGGAUCAGAGACAAGGCCAAAUUCAAAACAGCUCAAACCCCUGGUCAAGAAGCAAGUGAGCUAAAGUGCUUUCCCAGAAGCAAGACUUUUCCCAGGUCCUAAGGUCCCAGGUGCAGCCCUGCAUGCAGGGCUGGCAACAUAAUUUGCAGGGCCCAGUUGCAAAAUGAAAAUGUGAGUCCCCUUUUCAAAAAGCAGGGGAAUGGUGUCACAAAAAAAUAUUAAACUAAAAAGAUUUUUCCUUGC